CAGAAUUACUACCUCCUGAUCCUUUGUGUGAAGGAAAUGAUGGGGUAAACUCAUGUGGGAAAUCUUCAUCAGCGAACUUUGGAGAAAAGAGGUGCAGUGGAACUGGCUAAAUCGAUUGUUAGGCAAUAUAAAACUGAAGGGAAGGCAGCAAGAUUUUGAUUCCUUGGCUAUUACUAACAGCGCUGGGCCAGUCUAAAAAUCUAAAAGAAGAGUGGUUGAAAGUUGGCGAAAAAUCUGUAUGUUAGACUAAUUUGUCCUGUCAAUGAAAAGCUUUCUUCAGCCUUUGGCUUAAGCACACUUAUGGCUAUGGGGAGAUGUGAUAUUCACUUACACAGUAACUCAGUUAAGGUCAUCUAUUAUCUGUAAGAAUAUGCAGAUACCUGGAAGCCAAGGAAUGUAUUCUUUUAAAUAACUGGCUUGUUUUAUAAAACAAUAGCAAGAGAAACCUGGUGAAUUAUGCAAGCAUAUAUUCUUAGAAUUAGUGUUCAGAAGGCACUUCACUAAUUUUUGAUUCUACUGAAUGGAAUGGAUUAUUCGAGUUGAUAGCUCCUCAACAGAUUGCAAACGUUUACAGGUAGGAGCUUCCAGGCAUGUGCCAGCUACUCUGCAGCAGUGGAUAAAUGCAACUAUUGCUCACAUCUGCCCAGAGGGGGGUAAAUGCCCAGUCCUUCCUCAUACACAAAUGGAAUGCUUCCUAAGUGGUUGAAAUGUUAGCAAUGUUUUUGUUGUUGUUGUCGCUGUUUUGAUAACUCCGUAUGCAGAAGUUCACGGUGGUCAUAGGAAAAGGAGGAAGAGGGAGGAGCCCAGUUGUCUCUCUCAUUCUAAAGCUUCCCAAUCCACCUCCCAGGGAUUAAGAUUUGAAUUUAGAGAAUUACAGCAUCCUCUUCUUGAGACAGCGCAGGGGUCGCUGAAAACACGUGAACAAACCAGAGUUCUGCCACAGAUAACAAUAAAGAAACUCCAGUGCCGAAGACAUGACAGGCCGCUGGAAUAGACCUCUGCCAAAUACAAGCUGUACCCAAAACCCAUUGGUACAGGACCCCAGAAAGUGCAGCUCAAGUGGCCCAUCGCUCCUCCUGCCCUAAAGCACGCUGUCUGGUUUCAGGUGGAACGUGACACAGGAGCCAAUACCAAUGAAUGCUUAUGUGGUAGCUGCCAGGACUUCAAGUUCUCUUGUGUUAUAAAAAUUGUUUUCACUAGAAUAAAAUGUAAGGAUGAA
This 1219-nucleotide long non-coding RNA is filed under the name Equus caballus (horse). Its description in RNAcentral is "lncRNA (ENSECAG00000055636.1)". Lineage: Eukaryota; Metazoa; Chordata; Mammalia; Perissodactyla; Equidae. The record is from RNAcentral.